AUUGAACGCUGGCGGUAGGCCUAACACAUGCAAGUCGAACGGCAGCACAGUAAGCGCUUGCUCUUACGGGUGGCGAGUGGCGGGCGGGUGAGGGAUACGUCGGCAGCUACUUGUUCGAGGGGGAUGAAGGAGGGAAAAUUACGCUAAUACCGCAUAGGACCUAAGGGUGGAAGCAAGGGAUCUUCGGACCUUGCGCGAUUGAAUGAGCCGAUGUCGGAUUAGCUAGUUGGAGGGGUAAAGGCCCACCAAGGCGACGAUCCGUAGCUGGUCUGAGAGGAUGACCAGCCACACUGGAACUGAGGCACGGUCCAGACUCCUACGGGAGGCAGCAGUGGGGAAUUUUGGACAAUGGGCGCAAGCCUGAUCCAGCCAUACCGCGUGGGUGAAGAAGGCCUUCGGGUUGUAAAGCGCUUUUGUUGGGAAAGAAAAGCAGCAGGUUAAUACCCCGCUGUGCUGACGGUACCCAAAGAAUAAGCACCGGCUAACUUCGUG
Molecule: ribosomal RNA, 492 nt
Filed under: uncultured bacterium
Lineage: Bacteria
Description: partial 16S ribosomal RNA
Rfam family: Bacterial small subunit ribosomal RNA
Source: RNAcentral